UUCUAUCUUGUAUAGAAAAACAUUACUGAAAAAGAAGAAAUUAAAAUCAGUGUACAGAAAGCAUGCAUGUUAAACCAAGUGUUCACUAUAUGUCAAGUACAAUCACUCCAACAUUAGAGUCUUAAAAUUCGAUUAACAACAACAAAUUUUAUAACAACAAACAACAAAUAUUUUAUGUUGCUUUUUAACCAAAACAUCAAAGAUUUUUCUGCAUAAUUUAC
Molecule: long non-coding RNA, 221 nt
Filed under: Vigna radiata
Lineage: Eukaryota; Viridiplantae; Streptophyta; Magnoliopsida; Fabales; Fabaceae
Description: long non-coding RNA (VRAD_LNC001208)
Source: RNAcentral